This is a long non-coding RNA of Octopus bimaculoides (California two-spot octopus), 341 nucleotides long. NCBI's taxonomy places the organism in Eukaryota, Metazoa, Mollusca, Cephalopoda, Octopoda, Octopodidae. The record is from RefSeq and is a predicted model, not a curated record.
GUAGUAAACUUAAUCCAACCCCUAUUCUAACACUACCACUUGGGCCUUGGGGGCCCCCUUUAGCAGAGGGUUUCUCUGUUGUAUGCAUUCAUGUUAGGUAUUCUGUGUUGAGGACAUCUUCCACCCACCCAUCAUUCAGAGUCCCUUAAAAAAAAGUUGGUUAAAAGGUAGGGCCCUUCUCACCCCCUCUAAGUGUAUAAAAUAAUGAAGAUGAGAAAAAAAACAACCGAUUAAUUUUACAGGCAUAAAAUAGAUUUACAAACUUUAAAUUUCACUUUAGAAAUCCGCUGUAAACUACCUAAAAUAAUUUAUUAUCAGAUGAAUAUUUUCAUCCCUUUAGU